CCGAAAUAUUGAGAGGAAAGAGAGAGAAAGAUUUCAUCUUCAUUUUUGUGUUCAAGAAGCUACAUAGCCAUUGCCUUCACAAGUUCUUCCAUACUAGGAUCUUCGGUGGAAAUUUGAAGGAAAGGAUCACAGCGAUUCCUACGGUUUUAAAAGCUACUUGGAAGAUGUUGUCUAGCGUGAGCUCUGAAUAGGAUGGAAGUCGAGG
Molecule: long non-coding RNA, 205 nt
Organism: Ipomoea triloba (trilobed morning glory)
Lineage: Eukaryota; Viridiplantae; Streptophyta; Magnoliopsida; Solanales; Convolvulaceae
Exons: 3
Source: RefSeq, a predicted model, not a curated record